Molecule: ribosomal RNA, 253 nt
Filed under: uncultured bacterium
Lineage: Bacteria
Description: partial 16S ribosomal RNA
Rfam family: Bacterial small subunit ribosomal RNA
Source: RNAcentral
UACGAAGGGGGCUAGCGUUGCUCGGAAUUACUGGGCGUAAAGCGCACGUAGGCGGAUUGUUAAGUCGGGGGUGAAAUCCUGGAGCUCAACUCCAGAACUGCCUUCGAUACUGGCGAUCUCGAGUCCGGGAGAGGUGAGUGGAACUGCGAGUGUAGAGGUGAAAUUCGUAGAUAUUCGCAAGAACACCAGUGGCGAAGGCGGCUCACUGGCCCGGUACUGACGCUGAGGUGCGAAAUCGUGGGGAGCAAACAGG